UACGUAGGGGGCUAGCGUUGUCCGGAAUCAUUGGGCGUAAAGAGCGCGUAGGCGGCCAGAUAAGUCCGGUGUGAAAGUCAAAGGCUCAACCUUUGAAUGCCGCUGGAAACUGUCUGGCUAGAGUCCGGGAGGGGCGAGUGGAAUUCCUGGUGUAGCGGUGGAAUGCGCAGAUAUCAGGAGGAACACCGAUGGCGAAGGCAGCUCGCUGGGACGGUACUGACGCUGAGGCGCGAAAGCGUGGGGAGCGAACAGG
RNAcentral lists this ribosomal RNA (253 nucleotides) under uncultured bacterium. Its description in RNAcentral is "partial 16S ribosomal RNA". It matches the Rfam family "Bacterial small subunit ribosomal RNA", at positions 524 to 776 of the family's 1533-position model. The record is from RNAcentral.